AUGUUGCUUACUCAAAUGUUUGUGGCGAUUGUAUCCUUGUGCCAUGAAUAUUUGUACUUAGAAGAUCAAUAUAAACAUAUUGGCUAUCUAUUUACCAAUUCAGAAUUUAAAGCACUUUAUUUUAUGGCCUCGAGUAAAAGUUCAGUCGUUGUUGGCUGGAAGACAUCUUCAACACGCCAUCAACACGAGCUUCCCAAGGUAAUCAUCUAUUUAUUAUCAGCCCAUAUCUGGUGUGUAACAGGGUUCUUAUGUUUCAAAAUCCUCUGGCAUCAGAAAGAAGAUUUUGUCGAUGAUGUAAGAUAUCCACAUGUUGUAUAUGUGGAAAAACCAAAGGCUCAGGAUGUUAAUUUUUUGGAUGAAAUGAUUUAUCAGGCAAAAACUACAAGUGAAUUGGAAGAAGUAACGCUCAAAAGCCGAAAUAUAAUUCCUUGGGAAAGGGUAGAUGUUAGCUUCAAGAGAAGUAGACAAUGGAUUUUUUCCCAUAGCACCAUUCAGGUCCAGUUGUCGUUGCCUUCACUUGCUUUGUCGUUUACCGAUCUGUCAGCUCGCUGGUUCCCUGUCUUGCUGUCAAGUUGA
Molecule: ribosomal RNA, 576 nt
Filed under: Triticum aestivum (bread wheat)
Lineage: Eukaryota; Viridiplantae; Streptophyta; Magnoliopsida; Poales; Poaceae
Description: partial small subunit ribosomal RNA
Source: RNAcentral